AGGGAGGGAGGUGUUGAGUGGUGGCAGAGUGAGGGGGAGACACAGUGAGGGGGGGUGACUAGUGACAUAGGGAGGGAUGGGGUGACUAGUGACAAUCACCACCUCCCUCACUCUUUCACUAGUCACCACCUCCCUCACUCUGUCACCCCCUCCCUCACUCUGUCACUAGUCACCCACUCCCUCCCUCACUCUGUCACUAGUCACCCCCUCUCUCACUCCAUCACCAGUCAUCCCCUCACUCUGUCACUAGUCACCCCUUCCUUUUCUCUCUGCCACU
This is a non-coding RNA of Pelobates cultripes (western spadefoot toad), 277 nucleotides long. The record is from the annotation of a GenBank genome assembly. Lineage: Eukaryota; Metazoa; Chordata; Amphibia; Anura; Pelobatidae.